UUGGGACAGCUAUCCCGGGCUGCUGGAAAGUGCAUGCGCCAGCUACCUGACGAGGAAAGGGUCGGCAGAUUUCAGAAAGUAUGGACGAAAGCUGUACGCACCCUACGCCGUCAUCUGCAUGGAAAACGCAGGUGAACCGCUCUCCAAAAUUACGCUCGGGCAAUUCAACAACGCCUUGGAGCUCCGCUCCGUGGUCCAGCAGGUGGCGCUAGCGUUAGCGGUCGCUGAGGCGGAGCUGGAGUUUGAGCACCGGGCCCUGACCCCUGGGCACGUGCUGGUUAGGCCAGCACGCCGUCGCGUAGCCCAUUACCGAUUCAUGAACACUAUUUUGUUCGUUGAGCUGCACGGAUGGGAGGCCUGCAUCGUGGAUUUUGCAGCAUCCAGGCUUUACUCG
Molecule: long non-coding RNA, 394 nt
Organism: Dermacentor silvarum
Lineage: Eukaryota; Metazoa; Arthropoda; Arachnida; Ixodida; Ixodidae
Exons: 3
Source: RefSeq, a predicted model, not a curated record